RNAcentral lists this ribosomal RNA (293 nucleotides) under uncultured bacterium. Its description in RNAcentral is "partial 16S ribosomal RNA". It matches the Rfam family "Bacterial small subunit ribosomal RNA", at positions 505 to 796 of the family's 1533-position model. The record is from RNAcentral.
GUGCCAGCCGCCGCGGUAAAACGUAGGAGGCAAGCGUUAUCCGGAGUUACUGGGCGUAAAGCGCGUGUAGGUGGUUUAACAAGUCCGGCGUGAAAGCUCCCAGGCUAAACCGGGAGAGGACGAAGGAAACUGUUAGACUCGAGUUCGGUAGAGGGCAGUGGAAUUCCGGGUGUAGUGGUGAAAUGCGUAGAGAUCCGGAGGAACACCAGCGGCGAAGGCGGCUGCCUGGGCCUGAACUGACACUGAGACGCGAAAGCGUGGGGAGCGAACGGGAUUAGAAACCCCGGUAGUCC